This is a non-coding RNA of Callithrix jacchus (white-tufted-ear marmoset), 666 nucleotides long. NCBI's taxonomy places the organism in Eukaryota, Metazoa, Chordata, Mammalia, Primates, Cebidae. The record is from RefSeq and is a predicted model, not a curated record.
UGUCCGCCCGAGGCUGACCUGCUCGCCUUCGCAGGACCUUCAAUACAACCUGCCGGUCGCUGAUCCCGAGCCCACCUGCGUUCCUGCUGGUCCAGGAGCUGAUCAGAUGGAGUCACUGAUUUGGGCUGUGUCUUAACCUAACGUCUUAAGGAACCAAAGAAAGAGACAACGUCCUUGGAGAAUCUGGUUAGAUUUUAGCACUUCCAGUCAACAUGUGAAGUGGAAGAAGAUAGAAAGACUUUACCAGUUUCUUGACGUUUUGACCAAUGAUAACUUGUACUCAUGCUGAUUUUUACUCCUGAAUAUUCCAAUAUGACACACAGUGUAAUUCUUCUUGGUUUGUAAAACAGCCUUAUCACAAAACAAAUUGUUCUUCUUCCUGUUAUCCACCACACAUGAAAGUCAGAUGAGAUAAACCUAAUUUGUACAAAAAGUGUAAAACUAUUUCAGAAACACUUAAUUCGUUUUCCUUAACUUCGGCUUAUUUUUAAAAAUUGGUUUAGGUGUAUAAGUGUCCAGAUUUCUGGUUUAUCCACUGUUCUGCUUUGUCUGAAGACACUCUUAAAUUCUCUCCAUCUUAAUUUCCUCAUCUUGUGGAAAUAAAAUGGCACUACCUAUGAUCAAAGUUACCGUGAAAACAAUUAAAAUAUAAAUAUUGCAAUUUAA